Molecule: non-coding RNA, 440 nt
Organism: Penaeus vannamei (Pacific white shrimp)
Lineage: Eukaryota; Metazoa; Arthropoda; Malacostraca; Decapoda; Penaeidae
Source: RefSeq, a predicted model, not a curated record
GCCUUGAACAAGUCACUUCAACCUUUAAUGAUACCACUGACACUCGCAAGCCCUCUGGUGGCAAGAGAUAAUUUCCAUCAACACGCGUAAAGGACAAAACCUCGACAGCAGCUUCGUUCAGACUGUGUGACGCGCCUGUCUUGGCCAAGUCCCACUCUGCCACGACGACGCAGCGGUGGAAUCCAACCCGACGACGUGGCUUCGGAGAGCGAGUUGGAGGACGGCUUCUCUGCUGUGCCGGCCAACACAGCCACCGUCAGAGGUCUGCCAUGGCCAUCCCUUGCUUAGUUGAUAGGCCUAUGGUGGCCAUUAAUUUGAUGACAAAGGCAUGCCGAUCAAGAGUAUGGCCAGCGAUAGAGGAGUCGAAACAUGAACUUAAAUCUAUUGAAGCAUGUAACCCAAAAUAAAGCAUAGCUGUUUCAAUAAAUAUAAAUACUCGA